GAUGAACGCUAGCGAUAGGCUUAACACAUGCAAGUCGAGGGGCAGCACAAGGUAGCUUGCUAUCUGGGUGGCGACCGGCGCGCGGGUGCGUAACGCGUAUGCAACUUGCCCUAUACAGGAGGAUAACCCGUCGAAAGACGGACUAAUACUGCGUAUGCACACAACUUGGCAUCCAGUGGUGAGUAAAGACAUUCGGUAUAGGAUAGGCAUGCGUCCCAUUAGCUUGUUGGUGAGGUAACGGCCCACCAAGGCAACGAUGGGUAGGGGAACUGAGAGGUUGAUCCCCCACACUGGUACUGAGACACGGACCAGAAUGCUACGGGAGGCAGCAGUGAGGAAUAUUGAUCAAUGGGCGCGAGCCUGAACCAGCCAAGUCGCGUGAAGGAUGACUGUCCUAUGGAUUGUAAACUGCUUUUAUACGGGAAUAGCAGGAGUCACGUGUGACGCCCUGCAUGUACCGUAUGAAUAAGCAUCGGCUAACUCCGUG
Molecule: ribosomal RNA, 487 nt
Filed under: uncultured bacterium
Lineage: Bacteria
Description: partial 16S ribosomal RNA
Rfam family: Bacterial small subunit ribosomal RNA
Source: RNAcentral